GCCAGACUCCUACGGGAGGCAGCAGUGGGGGAUAUUGCACAAUGGGGGGAACCCUGAUGCAGCGACGCCGCGUGGGUGAAGGAGCGUUUCGGCGCGUAAAGCCCUCUCGGCAGGGAAGAAGGAGGACGGUACCUGACUAAGAAGCCCCGGCUAACUACGUGCCAGCAGCCGCGGUAAUACGUAGGGGGCAAGCGUUAUCCGGAUUUACUGGGUGUAAAGGGGGCGCAGACGGCAGCGCAAGCCAGGAGUGAAAGCCCGGGGCCCAACCCCGGGACUGCUCUUGGAACUGCGCGGCUGGAGUGCAGGAGGGGCAGGCGGAAUUCCUGGUGUAGCGGUGAAAUGCGUAGAUAUUAGGAGGAACACCGGUGGCGAAGGCGGCCUGCUGGACUGUAACUGACGUUGAGGCUCGAAAGCGUGGGGAGCAAACAGGAUUAGAUACCCGAGUAUG
This 448-nucleotide ribosomal RNA is filed under the name uncultured bacterium. RNAcentral describes it as "partial 16S ribosomal RNA". It matches the Rfam family "Bacterial small subunit ribosomal RNA", at positions 330 to 793 of the family's 1533-position model. The record is from RNAcentral.